CCCGCUGAACUUAAGCAUAUUACUAAGCGGAGGAAAAGAAAUUAACAAAGAUUGCCUUAGUAAGGGCGACUGAACCGGCAAGAGCUCGAAAUUGAAAUCGGAAAUUCAAUGAAUUUUCGAAUUGUAAUCAGGCCGACCUAAAUACGAGAGAUCGUUUAAGCAUGUCGAAACGUGCGCCAAGGAGGGUGAAAGCCCCGUGUUUCGUUCUCUCGAUCAAGGUAGGUCCUAAAAGAGUCGGGUUGCUUGGAACUGCAGCCCUAAGUGGGAGAUAUGAAUCUUCCAAAGCUAAAUAUGGAUGGGAGACCGAUAGCGAACAAGUACUGUGAAGGAAAGAUGAAAAGGACUUUGAAAAGAGAGUGAAAAGAUCUGAAAUCGUUGAGAAGGAAGCGGUAGAAACUGAUGGCCGUACGGACUGACAAUGCGGUGUACAACUGCAUAAGUUAUCCCAAAACGGCGGGCAAAAUGAAGUCGAAAGCGUCAAAAAAGGCUUUAGCCGUGAAGGGCGCGAUCGGCUUGAGGGACUAAUGUGAUUUUGCCAAAAUGGUUUCUACCGUCCCGUCUUGAAACACGG
This 571-nucleotide ribosomal RNA is filed under the name uncultured fungus. Its description in RNAcentral is "eukaryotic LSU rRNA". It matches the Rfam family "Eukaryotic large subunit ribosomal RNA", at positions 24 to 664 of the family's 3401-position model. Lineage: Eukaryota; Fungi. The record is from RNAcentral.